Molecule: non-coding RNA, 363 nt
Organism: Kogia breviceps (pygmy sperm whale)
Lineage: Eukaryota; Metazoa; Chordata; Mammalia; Artiodactyla; Physeteridae
Source: the annotation of a RefSeq genome assembly
AUGGCCUGGACCCCCCUCCUCCUCGGCCUCCUGGCUCACUUCACAGGCACUGUGUCCUCCUAUGAACUAACUCAGUCACCCUUGGUGUCGGUGUCCCUGGGACAGACGGCCAGGAUCACGUGGGUGGGGAACAACACUGGAAGUAAAUAUGUUCAACGGUACCAGCAGAAGCCAGGCCACGCCCCUGUGCUGGUCGAUUAUGGUGAUGGCAACAGGCCCUCAGGGAUCCCUGACUGGAUAUCUGGCUCCAAAUCGGGGAAUCCGGCCACCCUAACCAUCAGUGGAGUCUGGGCUGAGGACGAGGCUGACUAUUACUAUCAGUCAUAUGACAGCAGUUAUAAUCCUCAUGGUGACACAGGCUGA